This 87-nucleotide transfer RNA is filed under the name Sulfuricella sp. Its description in RNAcentral is "tRNA-Leu". It matches the Rfam family "tRNA". From Rfam's summary of the family: Transfer RNA (tRNA) molecules are approximately 80 nucleotides in length. Their secondary structure includes four short double-helical elements and three loops (D, anti-codon, and T loops). The record is from RNAcentral. Lineage: Bacteria; Pseudomonadati; Pseudomonadota; Betaproteobacteria; Nitrosomonadales; Sulfuricellaceae.
GCCCGGAUGGUGAAAUAGGUAGACACAAGGGACUUAAAAUCCCUCGGCCGCAAGGCUGUGCCGGUUCGAUUCCGGCUCCGGGCACCA